This 433-nucleotide ribosomal RNA is filed under the name uncultured bacterium. Its description in RNAcentral is "partial 16S ribosomal RNA". It matches the Rfam family "Bacterial small subunit ribosomal RNA", at positions 29 to 507 of the family's 1533-position model. The record is from RNAcentral.
AACGAACGCUGGCGGCAUGCCUAACACAUGCAAGUCGAACGAGACCUUCGGGUCUAGUGGCUCAUGGGUGCGUAACGCGGGGGAAGCUGCCUUUAGGCUUGGAAUAACUCAGUGAAAUGUGAGCUAAUACAGGAUGAUUUCCUCUGAUCAAAGAUUUGUCGUCUGUGGUUGAGCGGGCGUUGGUUUAGCCAGUUGGUGUGGUAAAGGCCUACCAAGGCGACGAUCCAUAGCUGGUCAGAGAGGAUGAUCCGCCACACUGGGGCUGAGACACGGCCCAGACUACUACACGAGGCGGCAGUGCCUAAUAUAGCCCUAUCGCCUGAAGCAUGAACCCGCUAUGCUGCGUAAGCGAUUAUGGUCUGAGAGUAAUAAAGCUCUUUUACCCGACAUGAUACUGACGGUAUCGAGAGAAUAAGCUCCGGCUAACUUCGUG